Molecule: ribosomal RNA, 365 nt
Filed under: uncultured bacterium
Lineage: Bacteria
Description: partial 16S ribosomal RNA
Rfam family: Bacterial small subunit ribosomal RNA
Source: RNAcentral
AUACGUAGGUGGCAAGCGUUGUCCGGAUUUACUGGGUGUAAAGGGCGCGUAGGCGGGCAGGCAAGUCAGAUGUGAAAUCUCCGGGCUCAACCCGGAAAUUGCAUUUGAAACUGCAGGUCUUGAGUAUCGGAGAGGCAAGCGGAAUUCCUAGUGUAGCGGUGAAAUGCGUGAAUAUUAGGAGGAACACCAGUGGCGAAGGCGGCUUGCGGGACGACAACUGACGCUGAGGCGCGAAAGCGUGGGAGCGAACAGGAUUAGAUACCCUGGUAGUCCACGCCCUAAACGAUGAAUACUAGGUGUGGGGGGACUGACCCCUUCCGUGCCGGAGUAAACACAAUAAGUAUUCCACCUGGGGAGUACGGCCG